Molecule: ribosomal RNA, 227 nt
Filed under: uncultured bacterium
Lineage: Bacteria
Description: partial 16S ribosomal RNA
Rfam family: Bacterial small subunit ribosomal RNA
Source: RNAcentral
AGUAACGCGUGAGGAACCUGCCUCAAAGAGGGGGACAACAGUUGGAAACGACUGCUAAUACCGCAUAAGCCCACGGCUCGGCAUCGAGCAGAGGGAAAAGGAGUGAUCCGCUUUGAGAUGGCCUCGCGUCCGAUUAGCUGGUUGGUGAGGUAAUGGCCCACCAAGGCGACGAUCGGUAGCCGGGCUGAGAGGUUGAACGGCCACAUUGGGACUGAGACACGGCCCAG